This 488-nucleotide ribosomal RNA is filed under the name uncultured bacterium. RNAcentral's name for it is "partial 16S ribosomal RNA". It matches the Rfam family "Bacterial small subunit ribosomal RNA", at positions 28 to 507 of the family's 1533-position model. The record is from RNAcentral.
GACGAACGCUGGCGGCGUGCUUAAUACAUGCAAGUCGAACGGAAAGGCCCUGCGCUUGUUGGGCGCUCGAGUGGCGAAGGGGGGAGUAAAACGCGUGGAAACUGCCCCUGUCAGUGUGAUAACUUCAGGAAAAUGGGGCUAAUACCGGGUAGGAUCUCCUGAUGCAUGGGGGGGGUUGGAAAGUUUCGGCGGUGGGGGAUGGACUCGCGGCGUAUCAGCUUGUUGGUAGGGUAGUGGCUUACCAAGGCUACGACGGGUAGCCGACCUGAGAGGGUGAUCGGCCCCACGGGAACUGAGACACGGUCCAGACUCCUACGGGAGGCAGCAGGAGGGAAUCUUCCGCAAUGGGCGAAAGCUUGACGGAGCAACGCCGCGUGAGUGAUGAAGGUCUUCGGAUCGUAAAACUCUGUUAUUAGGGAAGAACAAAUGUGUAAGUAACUAUGCACGUCUUGACGGUACCUAAUCAGAAAGCCACGGCUAACUACGUG